AAAUUUUUAUUAUUAUUAUUAUUAUUAUUAUUAUUAUUAUUAUUAUUAUUAUUAUUAUUAUUAUUAUUAUUAUUAUUACUAUUAAUAUUGUUAUUAUUAUUAUUAUCAUUAUUAUUAUUAUUUGUUUGAUUCAGACAACUAAGUGACUUAACUAAAAUAAGUAACAAAUGGACUAAGUCCAUAGUUAAGACAAGCGUAAUCAAUUAAUAAUUCUGUUUUAUAUACAUAUUGUAUUUUAUAUAUAUAAUAAUUUGUAUACAUAUUGAUAUUUAUCUAAAGGAGGCAAGCCUAAUUCCAUAAACAUUUAUAACACUUAAGUACUUGUUGCAAAAAACAUUUUAGUACAUUUCUUAUAACAAGAUUGUAGGUUUACAACAUAAUAUUUACAUUACAUAAAAUUAGACCAUAAGCUCUAUGAAAUAUAAAGCCACAUCAUACAAAAAAAAGCAGUACAUCUUAAAUUAUCUGAUAAGAAUAUUUGUAUGCGUAAAUAGACAUUUUAUCUCAAGGAAAAAUGUUUGAUUUAAUUAUUUUAUUAAUUUUCUUUUUAAUUUUUCGUACCAAUCAUUGUUAAUAUCAAAUCUAAAUGUCAAGAACAAACAAAUAACUCUUAAACUAGUCACAUUUUUGAAGUUUCUCACUUCAGAAACGGUUUUAGCAUUUAACUUUAAAUUUAAAAAAUAUUUUUUUGAGUCAUUCAGAACAUAAAUCAACUAAAUGGUGCAAAAACUGCUUCUUUCUGUAUAAACUGUUGAGGUACAAACCAGGGUUGCAAAAAAACGUUUUUUUUGAAAAAACCAAAAAUCAUAGGAUUUUUUUUUUUUUUUAAAAAAAAAAAAAAACAUGGUUUUUUUGGUUUAAAUUAGGUUUUUACUGUAAAAUGUGGUAUUUAUUUAUCCUUUUAAAUUAAAAAAACAAAACGUAUUUUAUUUGAGUAAACUAUAUUUUUUAUCAAUAUUAUUUUUAUAUUUCAUCAAAAUUAUUUAAUAUAUCAUUGUUUAAUAUUAUAUAUAUAAAUACAAGCUUUGCUGCUUUUUCUACCCCCAAUCAGUUUCUUAACUUAAAAUGAACAAGACCAAAAGUUGAAAAAAUUCUUUUGAUUCCAGCACUAGAAGCUGAUGCAUUUAAUAAACUUUCAAAAUCCAUUAUGUUAUAGUAGAUUUGGCUUUUAAUUUUUAUAAUAUUGGUAACAAAUUCUUGAACUCUUUAUCUGCGAAAUUCAUUGCAGCUUCAUUUUCAUUUUCAGAAAGAUUAGAUCCAAAAUAUCUAGGAUCUAGUGUGUUUGCCAGGAAAUGAGCAUCACUGACAGUCUGAAGAAUUGUUUUGCUGUUUCGAUUUCAAAACUUGAUUUGAAUUUUAUAGUGUUUUGUUUUCUCUGUCAAGCAAAAUAUAUUGUUUAAAAUAUUUUUGUUUUUUUAUAAGUGCAGCAUAUUGUUUUAUACAAGUAUAAUAUUUUUUACGCAAUUGUAAUAUUUUUUACGCAAUUGUAAUAUUUUUUACGCAAUUGUAAUAUUUUUUACGCAAUUGUAUUAUUUUUUACGCAAUUGUAAUAUUUUUUACGCAAUUGUAAUAUUUUUUUACGCAAUUGUAAUAUAUCGCCCAUAAACCUA
This is a long non-coding RNA of Hydra vulgaris (swiftwater hydra), 1610 nucleotides long. RefSeq lists it as uncharacterized. Lineage: Eukaryota; Metazoa; Cnidaria; Hydrozoa; Anthoathecata; Hydridae. The record is from RefSeq and is a predicted model, not a curated record.